Molecule: ribosomal RNA, 548 nt
Filed under: uncultured bacterium
Lineage: Bacteria
Description: bacterial SSU rRNA
Rfam family: Bacterial small subunit ribosomal RNA
Source: RNAcentral
UAGGGAAUCUUCGGCAAUGGGGGCAACCCUGACCGAGCAACGCCGCGUGAGUGAAGAAGGUUUUCGGAUCGUAAAGCUCUGUUGUAAGAGAAGAACGAGUGUGAGAGUGGAAAGUUCACACUGUGACGGUAACUUACCAGAAAGGGACGGCUAACUACGUGCCAGCAGCCGCGGUAAUACGUAGGUCCCGAGCGUUAUCCGGAUUUAUUGGGCGUAAAGCGAGCGCAGGCGGUUAGAUAAGUCUGAAGUUAAAGGCUGUGGCUUAACCAUAGUACGCUUUGGAAACUGUUUAACUUGAGUGCAGAAGGGGAGAGUGGAAUUCCAUGUGUAGCGGUGAAAUGCGUAGAUAUAUGGAGGAACACCGGUGGCGAAAGCGGCUCUCUGGUCUGUAACUGACGCUGAGGCUCGAAAGCGUGGGGAGCAAACAGGAUUAGAUACCCUGGUAGUCCACGCCGUNNCGAUGAGUGCUAGGUGUUGGGUCCUUUCCGGGACUCAGUGCCGCAGCUAACGCAUUAAGCACUCCGCCUGGGGAGUACGACCGCAAGGNU